RNAcentral lists this non-coding RNA (23 nucleotides) under Mus musculus (house mouse). RNAcentral also lists the same sequence under 1 other name. The record is from RNAcentral. Lineage: Eukaryota; Metazoa; Chordata; Mammalia; Rodentia; Muridae.
UGUAAAAUGAAUUAGCAAUGCCA